Molecule: ribosomal RNA, 926 nt
Filed under: uncultured bacterium
Lineage: Bacteria
Description: bacterial SSU rRNA
Rfam family: Bacterial small subunit ribosomal RNA
Source: RNAcentral
GCGUAGGUGGUUUGAUAAGUCAGCGGUGAAAGUUUGCAGCUUAACUGUAAAAAUGCCGUUGAAACUGUCGGACUUGAGUGUAAAUGAGGUAGGCGGAACGCGUGGUGUAGCGGUGAAAUGCAUAGAUAUCACGCAGAACUCCGAUUGCGAAGGCAGCUUACUAAGCUACAACUGACACUGAAGCACGAAAGCGUGGGGAUCAAACAGGAUUAGAUACCCUGGUAGUCACGCAGUAAACGAUGAUUACUAGCUGUUUGCGAUACACAGUAAGCGGCACAGCGAAAGCGUUAAGUAAUCCACCUGGGGAGUACACCGGCAACGGUGAAACUCAAAGGAAUUGACGGGGGCCCGCACAAGCGGAGGAACAUGUGGUUUAAUUCGAUGAUACUCGAGGAACCUUACCCGGGUUUGAACGUAGGGAGACAGGGGUGGAAACGUCCUUUUCAGCAAUGACUGCCUACUAGGUGCUGCAUGGUUGUCGUCAGCUCGUGCCGUGAGGUGUCGGCUUAAGUGCCAUAACGAGCGCAACCCUUAUUUUCAGUUACUAACAGGUAAUGCUGAGGACUCUGAAGAGACUGCCAGCGUAAGCUGUGAGGAAGGUGGGGAUGACGUCAAAUCAGCACGGCCCUUACAUCCGGGGCGACACACGUGUUACAAUGGUAAGGACAAAGGGCAGCUACCGGGCGACCGGAUGCUAAUCUCUAAACCUUAUCUCAGUUCGGAUCGGAGUCUGCAACUCGACUCCGUGAAGCUGGAUUCGCUAGUAAUCGCGCAUCAGCCAUGGCGCGGUGACUACGUUCCCGGGCCUUGUACACACCGCCCGUCAAGCCAUGGGAGCCGGGGGUACCUGAAGUUCGUAACCGCAAGGAUCGACCUAGGGUAAAACUGGUGACUGGGGCUAAGUCGUAACAAGGUAGCCGUAAUCU